CUGUAAGCCUGUGAAGGUGGCCUGUGAGGGUUGCUGGAGGUAUCAGAAGUGCGAAUGCUGACAUAAGUAACGAUAAAGCGGGUGAAAAGCCCGCUCGCCGGAAGACCAAGGGUUCCUGUCCAACGUUAAUCGGGGCAGGGUGAGUCGACCCCUAAGGCGAGGCCGAAAGGCGUAGUCGAUGGGAAACGGGUUAAUAUUCCCGUACUUGGUGUUACUGCGAAGGGGGGACGGAGAAGGCUAUGUUGGCCGGGCGACGGUUGUCCCGGUUUAAGCGUGUAGGUGUGUGUUCCAGGUAAAUCCGGUUCACUUUAACACUGAGGCGUGA
This 325-nucleotide ribosomal RNA is filed under the name Salmonella enterica subsp. enterica serovar Birkenhead. RNAcentral describes it as "partial 23S ribosomal RNA". It matches the Rfam family "Bacterial large subunit ribosomal RNA", at positions 1241 to 1566 of the family's 2925-position model. Lineage: Bacteria; Pseudomonadati; Pseudomonadota; Gammaproteobacteria; Enterobacterales; Enterobacteriaceae. The record is from RNAcentral.